AGUUAAAAUUUGAAUUUCAGAUAACUAACCAAUAAGUUUUUAGUAUAAGUAUAUCCUCUGAAAUACUUGGAAUAUACUUAUGCUAAAAAUUUAUUGGUUGUUUAUCUGAAACUAGAAUUUACCUAUGUGUCUU
RNAcentral lists this microRNA precursor (133 nucleotides) under Mustela putorius furo (domestic ferret). RNAcentral's name for it is "miRNA (ENSMPUG00000020205.1)". The record is from RNAcentral. Lineage: Eukaryota; Metazoa; Chordata; Mammalia; Carnivora; Mustelidae.